UUUGUUUUUAGGAGAAAAACAAACACACAAAUAGGAAUUCAAUUAGUGUGAGGCUGAUCUUUGGUAUAUUAAUCGUCACAAUAACUGAAAAGAUUCCAGCUACGACAGAACAAACCACACAUGACCCUCAUCAGCUGUUACACCUGAACACCACCUGCUGUGAUUGAGUGUGUGAAGACUAGAUAGCAAUCAAGCAGAGGUCAAAACAUAAUGGAUAAACCUGCAGCCUGUCUUCUCUGACGGGUUACAACCAACUAGACCAAUCCUGCUGAAAAACCUCAAGUUAAGGCUUUGGUGAGCGUUCAAUAAUCUUUCAGACCUUCUAUCGUGCAGCCCACCUCCUCCCCGUCUCCACCAAGAACCUUCAGGAUGUUCAGGAAGAUCAGUUUCCAUCACCAUCAUCUAGACUCCUCCAGUAGGAUCCUGUCUCCUGUCUAUACAGACCCACAUUUAAUGAAGAUGCUUCACAUUGAUGGAGUCUAAUUGUCAGUUUUUUUUCUUUCUGUCUCAAACCUCAAUAAACACAAAACACAGCUGGAAACCACAGAUGUUGAUGUCUAAUGAUAUGGACGUAUUACAAACAAAUGGAUCGGACAUAACUGUGUGACUGUGUGGUACUGCUUUAUUCUAUUUAAUGAAAAAACAACUUUGCUCUUUACAAUGCAGGAAAUAUACAUGCAUCUUCUGUCAUUAAACCACACGAGUCAAACAAAAAUAAGGUUUGUUUAAAUAAAACAACUCAGGAUGCUCUCA
This is a long non-coding RNA of Thunnus maccoyii (southern bluefin tuna), 753 nucleotides long. RefSeq lists it as uncharacterized. The transcript has 2 exons. The record is from RefSeq and is a predicted model, not a curated record. NCBI's taxonomy places the organism in Eukaryota, Metazoa, Chordata, Actinopteri, Scombriformes, Scombridae.